This 476-nucleotide ribosomal RNA is filed under the name uncultured bacterium. RNAcentral's name for it is "SSU rRNA". It matches the Rfam family "Bacterial small subunit ribosomal RNA", at positions 26 to 523 of the family's 1533-position model. The record is from RNAcentral.
AGAACGAACGCUGGCGGCAUGCCUAACACAUGCAAGUCGAACGCUCCUGGGAUUUCGGUCUCAGGGGAGUGGCGCACGGGUGAGUAGCGCGUGGGAACCUGCCCUGUUGUGGGGGAUAACCGAGGGAAACUUCGGCUAAUACCGCAUAAGCCGGCUGUCUUGCGAAAGAUGGCCGGGAAAGAUUUAUCGCGACAGGAGGGGCCCGCGUCGGAUUAGGUAGUUGGCGGGGUAACGGCCCACCAAGCCGGUGAUCCGUAGCUGGUCUGAGAGGAUGAUCAGCCACACUGGGACUGAGACACGGCCCAGACUCCUACGGGAGGCAGCAGUGGGGGAAUAUUGGACAAUGGGCGCAAGCCUGAUCCAGCAAUGCCGCGUGAGUGAUGAAGGCCUUAGGGUUGUAAAGCUCUUUCGCCCGCGACGAUGAUGACGGUAGCGGGAGAAGAGCCCGGCUAACUUCGCGCCAGCAGCCGCGGUAA